GUACUUUGAAGAGAGAGUUCAAGAGGACGUGAAACCGGUAGGAUGGAAACGGAUCGAGCCAACGAACAAGCCCGUAUUCAGCUAGUCGGCUGCGCGCGGCAUGCCUGUGUGCUCGGUCAGAGGGCACGGGUGUGUUGACUAUGCGUGCGGUUGCCUAGUGCAUUUGCGGGUAAUGUGCGCUGAGGCGUGUGGUGGAGUCCUGGAAACCGUCUUGGAGAGGUCAUGCCUUUGGGUCUGAAACCCACGGACGGCUAGUAGGGUUUCUGCUGCACGUAGCAAAUACGGCUAGGUUGACUGUUCGCGCUGUUUGUGCUACCUGGCUAGCCACUUGGUCGAUCGCAUGCGAUUGGAUCUCGUGUGUUGGUCCUGGUUGUGCUACAGUGCCCUAGCUGGUCCUCGGUGUAAAAGUUGGUCAUCUCUCCGACCCGUCUUGAAACACGGACCAAGGAGUCUAGCGUAUACGCGAGUCAUUGGGUGGAAAACCCAUAGGCGCAAUGAAAGUGAAGGUCUCUUUCUGAGGCUGAUAUGCGACCCGGGAGCACUUCGGUGCACUCGGAGCAGCAUAGCCCCGUCUCGACUGCUUGCAGUGGGGCGGAGGUAGAGCGUAUUCGCUGGUACCCGAAAGAUGGUGAACUAUGCCUGAGCAGGAUGAAGCCAGAGGAAACUCUGGUGGAGGUCCGAAGCGCUUCUGACGUGCAAAUCGAUCGUCUGACUGGGAGGGGCAAAA
RNAcentral lists this ribosomal RNA (727 nucleotides) under Dicelis rubidi. RNAcentral's name for it is "eukaryotic LSU rRNA". It matches the Rfam family "Eukaryotic large subunit ribosomal RNA", at positions 371 to 928 of the family's 3401-position model. Lineage: Eukaryota; Metazoa; Nematoda; Chromadorea; Rhabditida; Drilonematidae. The record is from RNAcentral.